RNAcentral lists this ribosomal RNA (458 nucleotides) under uncultured bacterium. RNAcentral's name for it is "partial 16S ribosomal RNA". It matches the Rfam family "Bacterial small subunit ribosomal RNA", at positions 338 to 795 of the family's 1533-position model. The record is from RNAcentral.
CCUACGGGUGGCAGCAGUGAGGAAUAUUGGUCAAUGGGCGAGAGCCUGAACCAGCCAAGUCGCGUGAGGGAGUACUGCCCUAUGGGUUGUAAACCUCUUUUGUCGGGGAGCAAAAGCCGGACGUGUCCGGCUGUGAGAGUACCCGAAGAAAAAGCAUCGGCUAACUCCGUGCCAGCAGCCGCGGUAAUACGGAGGAUGCGAGCGUUAUCCGGAUUUAUUGGGUUUAAAGGGUGUGCAGGCGGAUUUUUAAGUCAGCGGUAAAAUCGUGGGGCUCAACCCCAUCCAGCCGUUGAAACUGGGGAUCUAGAGUGUGCGAGAGGUAUGCGGAAUGCGUGGUGUAGCGGUGAAAUGCAUAGAUAUCACGCAGAACCCCGAUUGCGAAGGCAGCAUACCGGUGCACAACUGACGCUCAGGCACGAAAGCGUGGGUAUCGAACAGGAUUAGAUACCCUUGUAGUC